This 424-nucleotide ribosomal RNA is filed under the name uncultured prokaryote. Its description in RNAcentral is "bacterial SSU rRNA". It matches the Rfam family "Bacterial small subunit ribosomal RNA", at positions 355 to 796 of the family's 1533-position model. The record is from RNAcentral.
UGGGGAAUCUUAGACAAUGGGGGAAACCCUGAUCUAGCCAUGCCGCGUGAGUGACGAAGGCCUUAGGGUCGUAAAGCUCUUUCGCCAGGGAUGAUAAUGACAGUACCUGGUAAAGAAACCCCGGCUAACUCCGUGCCAGCAGCCGCGGUAAUACGGAGGGGGUUAGCGUUGUUCGGAUUUACUGGGCGUAAAGCGCACGUAGGCGGACUAUUAAGUCAGGGGUGAAAUCCCGGGGCUCAACCCCGGAAUUGCCUUUGAUACUGGUAGUCUAGAGUUCGAGAGAGGUGAGGGGAAUUCCGAGUGUAGAGGGGAAAUUCGUAGAUAUUCGGAGGAACACCAGUGGCGAAGGGGGCUCACUGGCUCGAUACUGACGUUGAGGUGCGAAAGCGUGGGGAGCAAACAGGAUUAGAUACCCCCGUAGUCC